This 1200-nucleotide long non-coding RNA is filed under the name Equus caballus (horse). Its description in RNAcentral is "lncRNA (ENSECAG00000049314.1)". Lineage: Eukaryota; Metazoa; Chordata; Mammalia; Perissodactyla; Equidae. The record is from RNAcentral.
AGACCGGGCAGUGAAACCCGGGUACGACAAGCACAGGACAGACCCCAGCACGGCCCUAGACCCCACCACGCACCCGCUGGCAAGUCAUUUCUGAGACCUCUUCCUUUCAUCCAGAGAUAGUAUGAUCCUAUGGGGCCUGGCUGGGCUGCCCUGGAGCUCACAGGGGACACUGGCUGAGAGUCCUCCACCGUGUGUAACACCCGGAGCAAAGGCAAGGGAUUCUCCUGGUUAAAUACACUCGGGGUGGAGCCAAGCUUCCUACAGAUCUCCUGCACACAUGGAAGGCUGGUGCCCACAUGGAAGGCUGGUGCCCACACAGAAGGCUGGUGCACACACGGAAGGCUGGUGCACACACAGAGGGCUGAUGCACACACGGAAGGCUGGCGCACACACGGAGGGCUGGCACACACACGGAAGGCUGGCGCACACACGGAGGGCUGGCACACACACAGAAGGCUGGCGCACACACGGACGGCUGGCUUCUCUUCCACCUGGACGCCUGGGAAAUGCUGACCCUGGAAUGAAAGGGGCCAGGCAAGUCCCAGCAGCGGCUGACAACGGGUCAGCCCCUGGUCCACAGCUACAGCUCGAGCCGGGCUCCUAUGCCACUACAUCGUCAUCUUAUCUCUUCAGACCGGAAGGAGGCAAUGGCUUCCUGUGGUACCGGUGCCUGGAGCCUCCACAUCCCUGCCCACAGCUCUGUACACGGUCCCUUCAUUAGAACUCGCCUUGGUGGGCCCUUGUCAGCAGAAUUCUGCUUCCCGCAGAACCCUGGCUAUACGUGUAUGUCUUUGCUAAAAAGUCUUGCAGAUGCCCAGAGGUGGGAAGAAAUAAUCUAGCUGCAAAUCCGGCUCUUCCCCCUGCUGUGUCACUGAAUCGUUCUAUGCCUCAGUUUCCUCAUCUGUAACUUCAGGGGGCUGAUGGACAGGAUGACUCCUGAUAAUGUUGAAAGCACCCAGGCCAGGCUGCUCCGCACAGUGGCUUGCUGUGACCUUGAAUUUAAACAACUGUAGCAUCCGCAAAACAAUGACAUUUUCCGGAAACGAACGGCCAUCCACCUUCAGACAGUGACUGUCGAUUUCUGAGCAAGGCCUUGGCAUUCUGUGCCCCCUCUCCUGCUGGACCUGCACCCUCCACCUGCGCCAGCCCUUCCGUUUGAUGGGCAGGCUUGAGAGGCAGAGAGAACAGGUUUGGUUUUCC